This 504-nucleotide ribosomal RNA is filed under the name uncultured bacterium. RNAcentral describes it as "bacterial SSU rRNA". It matches the Rfam family "Bacterial small subunit ribosomal RNA", at positions 28 to 525 of the family's 1533-position model. The record is from RNAcentral.
AAUGAACGCUGGCGGCGUGCCUAACACAUGCAAGUCGGAUGUGCCGCAAGGUGCAUGGCAGACGGGUGAGUAACGCGUGGGGAACCUACCUCUUCGUGGGGAAUAACGAUCCGAAAGGAUUGGUAAUACCGCAUGAGACCGACGGCUGGGAUGCUGUCGGUGAAAGCUGGGGACCGGAAACGGCCUGGCGCGAGGAGAGGGUCCUGCGUCUGAUUAGCUAGUUGGUGGGGUAACGGCCUACCAAGGCAUCGAUCAGUAGCCGGCCUGAGAGGGUGAUCGGCCACACUGGAACUGAGACACGGUCCAGACUCCUACGGGAGGCAGCAGUGGGGAAUUUUGCGCAAUGGACGAAAGUCUGACGCAGCAACGCCGCGUGGGUGAUGAAGGUCUUCGGAUUGUAAAACCCUGUCGUCGGGGACGAAGGUAGGGGGGUUAAUAGCCCUUUGCUUGACGGUACCCGGAGAGGAAGCCCGGGCUAACUCUGUGCCAGCAGCCGCGUAGUAA